AUUGAUUUUGGUCGCCAACGAGUGGCGGACGGGUGAGUAACACGUAGGUAACCUGCCCAGAAGCGGGGGACAACAUUUGGAAACAGAUGCUAAUACCGCAUAACAGCGUUGUUCGCAUGAACAACGCUUAAAAGAUGGCUUCUCGCUAUCACUUCUGGAUGGACCUGCGGUGCAUUAGCUUGUUGGUGGGGUAACGGCCUACCAAGGCGAUGAUGCAUAGCCGAGUUGAGAGACUGAUCGGCCACAAUGGGACUGAGACACGGCCCAUACUCCUACGGGAGGCAGCAGUAGGGAAUCUUCCACAAUGGGCGCAAGCCUGAUGGAGCAACACCGCGUGAGUGAAGAAGGGUUUCGGCUCGUAAAGCUCUGUUGUUAAAGAAGAACACGUAUGAGAGUAACUGUUCAUACGUUGACGGUAUUUAACCAGAAAGUCACGGCUAACUACGUGCCAGCAGCCGCGGUAAUACGUAGGUGGCAAGCGUUAUCCGGAUUUAUUGGGCGUAAAGAGAGUGCAGGCGGUUUUCUAAGUCUGAUGUGAAAGCCUUCGGCUUAACCGGAGAAGUGCAUCGGAAACUGGAUAACUUGAGUGCAGAAGAGGGUAGUGGAACUCCAUGUGUAGCGGUGGAAUGCGUAGAUAUAUGGAAGAACACCAGUGGCGAAGGCGGCUACCUGGUCUGCAACUGACGCUGAGACUCGAAAGCAUGGGUAGCGAACAGGAUUAGAUACCCUGGUAGUCCAUGCCGUAAACGAUGAGUGCUAGGUGUUGGAGGGUUUCCGCCCUUCAGUGCCGGAGCUAACGCAUUAAGCACUCCGCCUGGGGAGUACGACCGCAAGGUUGAAACUCAAAGGAAUUGACGGGGGCCCGCACAAGCGGUGGAGCAUGUGGUUUAAUUCGAAGCUACGCGAAGAACCUUACCAGGUCUUGACAUCUUGCGCCAACCCUAGAGAUAGGGCGUUUCCUUCGGGAACGCAAUGACAGGUGGUGCAUGGUCGUCGUCAGCUCGUGUCGUGAGAUGUUGGGUUAAGUCCCGCAACGAGCGCAACCCUUGUUACUAGUUGCCAGCAUUAAGUUGGGCACUCUAGUGAGACUGCCGGUGACAAACCGGAGGAAGGUGGGGACGACGUCAGAUCAUCAUGCCCCUUAUGACCUGGGCUACACACGUGCUACAAUGGACGGUACAACGAGUCGCGAACUCGCGAGGGCAAGCAAAUCUCUUAAAACCGUUCUCAGUUCGGACUGCAGGCUGCAACUCGCCUGCACGAAGUCGGAAUCGCUAGUAAUCGCGGAUCAGCAUGCCGCGGUGAAUACGUUCCCGGGCCUUGUACACACCGCCCGUCACACCAUG
RNAcentral lists this ribosomal RNA (1346 nucleotides) under Limosilactobacillus fermentum. RNAcentral's name for it is "bacterial SSU rRNA". It matches the Rfam family "Bacterial small subunit ribosomal RNA", at positions 73 to 1406 of the family's 1533-position model. Lineage: Bacteria; Bacillati; Bacillota; Bacilli; Lactobacillales; Lactobacillaceae. The record is from RNAcentral.